UACAGUGGCGACCGGGUGAGUAACACGUGACUAACCUACCUUCGAGUGGGGGAUAACUCCGGGAAACCGGAGCUAAUACCGCAUAACAUCGCAAGAUCAAAGCAGCAAUGCGCUUGAAGAGGGGGUCGCGGCUGAUUAGCUAGUUGGCGGGGUAAUGGCCCACCAAGGCGAAGAUCGGUAUCCGGCCUGAGAGGGCGCACGGACACACUGGAACUGAAACACGGUCCAG
This 229-nucleotide ribosomal RNA is filed under the name uncultured bacterium. RNAcentral's name for it is "partial 16S ribosomal RNA". It matches the Rfam family "Bacterial small subunit ribosomal RNA", at positions 91 to 334 of the family's 1533-position model. The record is from RNAcentral.